AUGCAAGUCGAACGGAAUUGAGGGGCUUGCUCCUCAAUUUAGUGGCGCACGGGUGAAUAACCCGUAGAUUAUCUGCCUGAUGAUCUGGGAUAACACUUCCAAAGGGGUGCUAAUACCGGAUAACCCCACGGAGUCUUUGGAUUCUGCGGGAAAAGGGGGGGACCUUCGGGCCUUCUGUCAUACAGAUGAGUCUGCGUACCAUUAGCUAGUUGGUAGGGUAAUGGCCUACCAAGGCUACGAUGGUUAGCUGGUUUGAGAGAAUGAUCAGCCACACUGGAACUGAGACACGGUCCAGACUCCUACGGGAGGCAGCAGUGGGGAAUUUUGCGCAAUGGGCGAAAGCCUGAUCGCAGCAACGCCGCGUGAGUGAUGAAGGCUUUCGGGUCGUAAAGCUCUGUCGAGGGGAAAGAAGUGUAUUGUGGCUAAUAUCCACGAUACUUGACGGUACCCCUAAAGGAAGCACCGGCUAACUCCGUGCCAGCAGCCGCGGUAAUACGGGGGGUGCAAGCGUUGUUCGGAAUUAUUGGGCGUAAAGAGCGUGUAGGCGGUUUGUUAAGUCUGUUGUGAAAGCCCUGGGCUCAACCCAGGAAGUGCACUGGAUACUGGCAGACUUGAAUACGGGAGAGGGUAGUGGAAUUCCUAGUGUAGGAGUGAAAUCCGUAGAUAUUAGGAGGAACACCGGUGGCGAAGGCGGCUACCUGGACCGAUAUUGACGCUGAGACGCGAAAGCGUGGGUAGCAAACAGGAUUAGAUACCCUGGUAGUCCACGCCGUAAACGAUGAGAACUAGGUGUUGCGGGUAUUGACCCCUGCAGUGCCGCAGCUAACGCAUUAAGUUCUCCGCCUGGGAAGUACGGUCGCAAGACUAAAACUUCAAU
This 877-nucleotide ribosomal RNA is filed under the name uncultured bacterium. RNAcentral's name for it is "bacterial SSU rRNA". It matches the Rfam family "Bacterial small subunit ribosomal RNA", at positions 55 to 906 of the family's 1533-position model. The record is from RNAcentral.